This 235-nucleotide ribosomal RNA is filed under the name uncultured bacterium. RNAcentral describes it as "partial 16S ribosomal RNA". It matches the Rfam family "Bacterial small subunit ribosomal RNA", at positions 524 to 757 of the family's 1533-position model. The record is from RNAcentral.
UACAGAGGGUGCAAGCGUUAAUCGGAAUUACUGGGCGUAAAGCGUGCGCAGACGGUUGCGUAAGUCAGAUGUGAAAGCCCCGGGCUCAACCUGGGAAUUGCAUUUGAGACUGCGUAGCUAGGGUGCGGAAGAGGGAAGCGGAAUUUCCGGUGUAGCGGUGAAAUGACGUAGAUAUCGGAAGGAACACCAGUGGCGAAAGCGGCUUCCUGGUCCAGCACCGACGUUCAGGCACGAA